RNAcentral lists this long non-coding RNA (230 nucleotides) under Elaeis guineensis (African oil palm). RNAcentral describes it as "long non-coding RNA (EGUI_LNC022272)". The record is from RNAcentral. Lineage: Eukaryota; Viridiplantae; Streptophyta; Magnoliopsida; Arecales; Arecaceae.
CUGGUUGGAUCUCGAAGUGGCACUAAUAAGAGGUAGAUCAGUAGUGUAGAAUUUUUUUUUUCAACUAAUGGCGUUUAUUAUGAUGAGCUUGUUUUGAUAUCGUUGAUAUGGAUUUAAGUCAUGUGAUCUUGGGGAGGCCUUGGAAACAUUAUAACCAAGUAUUGUAUAAAGAGAAAGAAAACUCCUACAUCUUCCACAAGGAUGAAAAAAAGAUUGUUCUUGUCCCCUUG